CAGUCUGAUGGUAUCCUAGGGACAGACGGUAGUGAGUAAGUAUGGAGUGUCGGUGGGCAUACAGUAUCAAUCGUGACGAGGUCGAUACUACUAGAUAUGAUGAAGAAUACAUCAUCAGAAAGCGUAUCACGAAGAGUGUUCUCAUUAAUCAGGAACGAAAGUUGGGGGACGAAGACGAUCAGACACGUGUUGAGUCAAAACAACCGCAGGCUCGACUAGGGAUGGGGCGAUGUUGUCAUUUCGACUAAGUCGGCACCUUGCGAGAAUUCUCCCCCUGGAACCUAAGGGGGGAGUAUGGUCGCAAGGUGCAAACAGAAUCAAAAAAGCAACAGGGCACCACAAGGCGGGGAGCAUGCGGCUUAAUUUGACUCAACACGGGGAAACUCACCAGGUCCAGACCCAAUAAGGAUUGACAGAUAAAGAAAUCAUUCUUGGCAAAGGGGGUGGCGGUGCAUGGUCGUUCAUAAAUGCAGGAAUGACACGUCUGAUUAAGAAAUAUAACGACCGAGACCUUAACCUACUAAAUAGCCCGGCCAGCUUUGAAGGCCAACAGAAUUGGAAGAGGGACUAUCGGCUCAAGCCCAUGGAAAUGUGAGGCAAUAACAGGUUUGUGAUGCCCAUAGAUAUUUUGGGCAGCACGCGCGCUACAAGGCAGGAGCCAACGAGUACUUUUCCGGGGCCGGUAGGCGGGGGUAAUCUUGUUAAACUCCGUCCACAUGGGGAUAGAGCAUUGCAAACCCUGCUCUUCAACGAGGAAUGCAGAGUAAGCGCGAGUCAUCAGCUCGCGUUGAUUACGGCCCUGCCCUUAGCACUCACCGCCGCUCA
RNAcentral lists this ribosomal RNA (825 nucleotides) under uncultured fungus. RNAcentral describes it as "bacterial SSU rRNA". It matches the Rfam family "Eukaryotic small subunit ribosomal RNA", at positions 831 to 1678 of the family's 1831-position model. The record is from RNAcentral. Lineage: Eukaryota; Fungi.